RNAcentral lists this ribosomal RNA (460 nucleotides) under uncultured bacterium. Its description in RNAcentral is "partial 16S ribosomal RNA". It matches the Rfam family "Bacterial small subunit ribosomal RNA", at positions 338 to 795 of the family's 1533-position model. The record is from RNAcentral.
CCUACGGGAGGCAGCAGUGAGGAAUAUUGGUCAAUGGGCGUAAGCCUGAACCAGCCAAGUCGCGUGAGGGAUGAAGGUUCUAUGGAUCGUAAACCCCUUUUAUAAGGGAAUAAAGUGCGGGACGUGACUCGUUUUGUAUGUACCUUAUGAAUAAGGAUCGGCUAACUUCGGGCCAGCAGCCGCGGUAAUACGGAGGAUCCGAGCGUUAUCCGGGUUUAUUGGGUUUAAAGGGUGCGUAGGCGGCCUUUUAAGUCAGGGGUGAAAUUCUGUGGCCCAAACAUAGAAUUGCCGUUGAAACUGGGAAACUAGAGUAUGUUUGAGGCAGGCGGAAUGCGUGGGGUAGCGGUGAAAUGCGUAGAUAUAACGCAGAACCCCAAUUGCGAAGGCAGCCUACUGGGCCAUGACUGACGCUGAGGGACGAAAGCGUGGGGAUCAAACAGGAUUAGAUACCCGGGUAGUC